UCCCUAUGUUUUAUUCGAUACAUUUCGACAGUGUUACCCCUUAUGGAUUUUUCAUGACGACAGAUAAAAAACGACAGUGUUACCCUUUACGUUUCAUUUGAUAAAAACGACAGUGUUACCCCUUGUGUUUUUUUUCAUGACGACCAAAGAAAAACAACAGUGUUACCCCCUAUGUUUUAUUUGAUCAAUAUCGACAGUGUUACCCCUUAUGGUUUUUUUCAUGACGACCAAAGAAAAACAACAGUGUUACCCCCUAUGUUUUAUUUGAUCAAUAUCGACAGGUUUACCCCUUAUGUUUAUUUCAUGACAGCCGAUAAAAAACGACAGAGUUACCCCUUAUGUUUUUUUUCAUGACGACCGAUAAAAAACAACAGCGUAACCCCUUAUGUUUUUUUUCAUGACGACCGAUAAAAAACGACAGUGUCACCCCUCGUUUCAUUUGAUAAAAACGACAGUGUUACUCCCUAUGUUUUAUUCGAUACAUUUCGACAGUGUUACCCCUUAUGGAUUUUUCAUGACGACAGAUAAAAAACGACAGUGUUACCCUUUACUUUUCAUUUGAUAAAAACGACAGUGUUACCCCUUAUGUUUUUUUCCCAUGAUGACUGAUGAAAAACAACAGUGUUACCCCUUAUAUUUUAUUUGACAGGGACAAUUUUCUUAUUUUUUUCAUAUAUGUUUCUUUUUCAUGACGACCAAUAAAAAACGACAGUGUUACCCCUGUCAACGUUUUUGCAGAGAUCCGAACCUGAGCUGUGUAGAGUAUUAACCUUCAAACUUAUCAACGCAUCAUCAAGACACCGAAUAAUGUCAACACAAUGGUUAUACUUGAC
This 833-nucleotide long non-coding RNA is filed under the name Gadus morhua (Atlantic cod). RNAcentral describes it as "lncRNA (ENSGMOG00000024329.1)". Lineage: Eukaryota; Metazoa; Chordata; Actinopteri; Gadiformes; Gadidae. The record is from RNAcentral.